This 468-nucleotide ribosomal RNA is filed under the name uncultured bacterium. RNAcentral describes it as "partial 16S ribosomal RNA". It matches the Rfam family "Bacterial small subunit ribosomal RNA", at positions 28 to 507 of the family's 1533-position model. The record is from RNAcentral.
GACGAACGCUGGCGGCGUGCUUAACACAUGCAAGUCGAACGGAAAGGCCCUGCUUUUGUGGGGUGCUCGAGUGGCGAACGGGUGAGUAACACGUGAGUAACCUGCCCUUGACUUUGGGAUAACCUCAGGAAACUGGGGCUAAUACCGGAUAGGAGCUCCUGCUGCAUGGGGGGGGUUGGAAAGUUUCGGCGGUUGGGGAUGGACUCGCGGCUUAUCAGCUUGUUGGUGGGGUAGUGGCUUACCAAGGCGUUGACGGGUAGCCGGCCUGAGAGGGUGACCGGCCACAUUGGGACUGAGAUACGGCCCAGACUCCUACGGGAGGCAGCAGUGGGGAAUAUUGCACAAUGGGCGGAAGCCUGAUGCAGCAACGCCGCGUGCGGGAUGACGGCCUUCGGGUUGUAAACCGCUUUCGCCUGUGACGAAGCGUGAGUGACGGUAAUGGGUAAAGAAGCACCGGCUAACUACGUG